Molecule: ribosomal RNA, 253 nt
Filed under: uncultured bacterium
Lineage: Bacteria
Description: partial 16S ribosomal RNA
Rfam family: Bacterial small subunit ribosomal RNA
Source: RNAcentral
UACGUAGGUGGCAAGCGUUGUCCGGAUUUACUGGGCGUAAAGAGCGCGCAGGCGGUCGUUUAAGUCGAAUGUGAAAGCCCCCGGCUCAACUGGGGAGGGUCAUUCGAUACUGAUCGACUUGAAGGCAGGAGAGAGAAGUGGAAUUCCCGGUGUAGUGGUGAAAUGCGUAGAUAUCGGGAGGAACACCAGUGGCGAAGGCGACUUCUUGGCCUGUUCUUGACGCUGAGGUGCGAAAGCCAGGGGAGCGAACGGG